This 803-nucleotide ribosomal RNA is filed under the name uncultured rumen protozoa. RNAcentral's name for it is "bacterial SSU rRNA". It matches the Rfam family "Eukaryotic small subunit ribosomal RNA", at positions 299 to 1237 of the family's 1831-position model. The record is from RNAcentral.
UCUGCGUGAGGGCCCGGGUCCGCUUUUUCGAUGGUAGAUUGGACACAUGGCUCUCACGGGUACAGGGAUUAGGGUUCGAUUCUGGAGAAGGAGCCUGAGAACGGCUACUACAUCUUCUUUAUAGGCAGCAGGCGCGUAAAUUAACAAAAUCCUGACUCAGGGAGGUGGUGACAAGAUAUAACAACGCGGUUAUUAUCGCGAUUGUAGUGAGGGUAUUCUAAACAGAACCUAUAGUACGAUUAGAGGGCAAGUCUGGUGCCAGCAGCCGCGGUAAUUCCAGCUCUAAUAGCGUAUAUUAAAGUUGCUGCAGUUAAAAAGCUCGUAGUUGAUUUCAAGGAUUGUAAACCCCCACGGGAAUACAUCCUACUAGUCUUCGGACUGUUACUGUGAGAAAAUUAGAGUGUUUCAAGCAGCUUUCGCAGAUACAUUAGCAUGGAUACGACUGCACCACGACACCAACGACAAUCAAAUUACGAUUAUUAGAGACAGUUGGGGGCAUUAGUAUUUCACUUGUCUUCUGUUGAUAUUCUUGGAUUUGUUAAGACUAACGUAUGCGAAAGCCUCUGCCCACGCAUGUUUCAUUAUCAGGACGAAAGAUAGGGGAUCAAGACAUCGAUACUGUCGUAUCCUAUUUUUUAACUUAUGGCCGACUAGGGAUUGGAGUGGCUCACACCAUUCAGUACCUUAGAAAUCAAGUUUUGGGUUCUUGGGGAAUAUGGUCCAGACUGACUUAAAAUUGACGAGCACCCCGGAGUGACCUGCGCUUAUUGACUCAACGGACUACGUCGACAUAAGAUGCAAUU